AGAGAGCGCCGGGGAGCCGCGACCCUUGCUGUUGGGCCGCGGUAGUCCGCGGAGUCGGGAUGAUGCUCUGCUGUUCGCUAGAUAGGCUGGGAAAGGCUCCAGUCAAGUUUCCAGAGCAAAACACUUCUCUGCUGCGAGAGGAGGAAGGUGCUGCCGGCUACCGAAGCCAUUCUGAAAUAUUCUUUAUAGUACAGGAGCUGUGUAGUCGCUGAGGGUACACACAUGCGGAGCAUUCGGAUAAACUGCCUUUGCAAAAAUUGUAAGUGAGAAAAUUAUGACAGUGAAAGAGAUCUGACUUACCCAGUUCCGUCUUGCUUCUAACCUCCGAACUGCCCUUGUUCAUUCCUGGGUAUAGGCCAAACUAACUUUGGGAGGAAUUUAGUUUAUAGUUGAACUUCGAAGCAAAGAUAACAGCCCUUCCCCAAAACAAACCCCCUUCUUGCCUGGGGACCAGACUGCCUUUGUAAGACUAACAAAUUAGCCACAAGAUUAGAAAUUAUGGUUUAGGAGUCAUCCAGACAGAGGUCACAAGAUUCCAAACCUUCCCUAUUGCUCCAAGGGAUAACAUCACUAUUGUAAAAUCUAAGAUCGGUGCUGGGGAUAUUUUUCAGACCCUGCAUUCUGAGGCACCAGCUGGCAGUACCUAGACCAGUUAUCUGGCUCAGCCAGUUCUGCAAUCCCACCCAGGAACAGAAAACAGCAAGAAGAACCCACUUAGACCCCCCUAUGAUUUCAUCUCCAACCUGACCAAUCAGCACUCCCCACUGCCUGAUACCUACCAGCCGAAUUAUCCUUAAAAAACCCCAGUCUCUGAAUUAUCGGGGAGACUUAUUUGAGUGAUAAAACUCUGGUAUCUCAUUCAGCCGGCUCUGCAUGAAUUAAAAUCUCCAUUGCAAUUCCCCUGUCUUGAUGAAUCAGCUCUGGGCAACGGGCAAGGAGAACCCGUCCGGCAAUUAUAUCAGAACCUGUCUUCAGUCCAGGAGGGGAACCCAGAGGCUUCAUCAGACCCCUCCAAUACUGUAGAUAAAAGUGCUGCUGGAAGUCUCACAAGUCAGAGGGGCCCAGCCUGGGGGAAACCUUCCAUGGGGAGUCCUGCUGGCUUCUCGCAGGAACGGACCCCACAGCUGAGCUUUGCAAGCCAAUUAGGUGCCAAGAGGCACCAAGGAGUAGAUUCAUUCGGUAGUAGGGCCCCCCCUUCCCCAGACCUCCACAAAAAAGGCACGUACGUAAGAGGUUAGAAAGCACUUUUCGUUCGUUUGUUUGUUUGUUCGUUUGUUUUGAGAUGGAGUCUUGCUCUGUCGACCAGGCUGGAGUACAGUGGCACAGUCUCAGCUCACUGCAACCUCCGCCUCCCGGGUUCAAGCGAUUCUCCUGCCUCAGCCUCACAAGUAGCUGGGAUUACAGGCGCACACCUCCACACCUGGCUAAUUUUUGUAUUUUUAGUGGAGACCGGGUCUCACCAUGUUGACCAGGCUGGCCUCAAACCCCUGACCUCAGGUGAUCUGCCCACCUUGGCCUCUCAAAGUGCUGGGAUUACAGGCGUGAGCCACUGUGCCCGGCCUAGAGGGUACUUUUUAAUGGGUGGGUUUCUUUGUUCAUACUGCCAGGUUGAGCUUAGCCUGCAGCAGCAGGAGUUGAGUACAGACAUUAACCAGGUGAAAUUAUUAAAGAUGAUGCUAGGGGAGAGGAGAUAUUCUGAAAUGGGAUGAAUAAGGGGCCCACUUGGCAAUAGAGAGUGAGGCUGAGGCUGGUGACCCCUCAGGUUUCUGCCACCUCUGUAUUUUCCUCUUUCUCCUGUGGGGAAUGCCAAUGUACCUGCUGUUGUCUAGCCAUCUGCCUGACCACUGGCCACAAUCAGCCCACUGAGUCUUUAGUAAGAGGCAACAAGGACCCUCUACUUCCCCUCUCACAUCUCUGAUCCACCUCUUCUCCUUCUUGAAAUGUUUUUUUUUUUUUCAUCUGUUGGGUCACAGAAAACGAUUCCCCAAAAUAUGGUGUUUGAGCAUACGGAGUGCUUUUGAGAAUUAAAAGAAAACAAGCCUCAGAAUCAAGGUACCUCUAACCUUGUCUUGUUCCUCCGCUCAACCCCAAGCAUAGGGGAAGACUCUCUCUGGAAUUUCCUUGUCUCACCAAGAAAGCUUUUUUUUUUUUUUUUUGAGACAGGGUUUUGCUCUGUCGUCCAGGAUCAAGUACAGUGGUGCCAUCACAGCUCACUGAAGCCUCAAAUUCUGGGGCUCAAGCAGUCCUCUGUGAAACAAAAAUAAAGCUAAGUCUUCUCUACCCCCAGCCAUCUGCAUGGACCCCUCCUCUCAGCCAAGGGCAUUCCAAAGUUAACCUGAAAAACUAGUUCAGGCCAUGAUGGGAAGGGGGAGUCAGACAUGCCUCACUACCGUUGUGAAAGAAAAAUAAAUUUCAGGACCCCCAAAUCAUGAAGUCAAGGGAAAAGUCAAGCUGGAGACUAUGUCAGGCAAUUCUGCCUCCCAUUUUAUUUCUAAAUAAGGUAGCUACAAAGAUCAAAAUUACAUAUCCCCCUCACAAUUUGCCCACAAGGAAUUUCCUUGUGGACAAAGGACAGACAUGACUCAAAGUCAUCUUUCUGAGGCUCACCUGAGACAAAUGUGUAUUCGAUUGCCUCCUCUGCCCUACGGUGUAUGUAAAAAUGCAGGUGUACUGAGCCAGACUAAAUUGUGUAUUCAAUGGAAGGCGGAUGUAGGACUCAAAAGAAUGCAACCUUUUUUCUCUUAUCUAUUUCUGACCUGAAAGACCCCCACCUCGGCACCCUUCGAGUUGUCCCGCCUUACUGGACCCAACCAAUGCACAUCUUACACAUAAUUAUUGAUGUCUCAUGUUUCCCUAAAAUGUUUAAAAGCAAGCUGUACCUGACUACCUUGGGCACAUGUCGUUAGGACCUCCUGAGGCUGUGUCACAGGAAUGUCCUUAACCUUGUCAAAAUAAACUCCUAAAUUAAUUGAG
RNAcentral lists this long non-coding RNA (2973 nucleotides) under Homo sapiens (human). RNAcentral describes it as "long non-coding RNA NONHSAT163510". Lineage: Eukaryota; Metazoa; Chordata; Mammalia; Primates; Hominidae. The record is from RNAcentral.